UACAGAGGGGGCAAGCGUUAUUCGGAAUUAUUGGGCGUAAAGGGCGCGUAGGCGGUCAGCACAGGUCGGUUGUGAAAUCUCCGAGCUUAACUCGGAAAGGUCAACUGAUACUGUGCGACUAGAGUGCGGAAGGGGCAACUGGAAUUCUUGGUGUAGCGGUGAAAUGCGUAGAUAUCAAGAGGAACACCUGCGGCGAAGGCGGGUUGCUGGGCCGACACUGACGCUGAUGCGCGAAAGCGUGGGGAGCAAACAGG
Molecule: ribosomal RNA, 254 nt
Filed under: uncultured bacterium
Lineage: Bacteria
Description: partial 16S ribosomal RNA
Rfam family: Bacterial small subunit ribosomal RNA
Source: RNAcentral